RNAcentral lists this unclassified non-coding RNA (223 nucleotides) under Hevea brasiliensis (rubber tree). Lineage: Eukaryota; Viridiplantae; Streptophyta; Magnoliopsida; Malpighiales; Euphorbiaceae. The record is from RNAcentral.
GGAUAAUUUUCCCCUUCUUAUCCCAUUCCCCUCCCCCAAAUCCCAAUUUCUUUCUCUCCAUCCUUCCCCAAAAACAACAUUGUGAUUACACUUGUGCCAUUUCAGUAACUUCCCAAAAUGUACAGUUUGAGGUGGAAAAUGAGUGCCUUGACAAGUCAUUUUCUAUUUGAUUGAUAGAAGUCAUUGAUGUCCAUUCUAUGAUUUAUUUGCAAUAGCUCAAGAU